GAUGAACGCUGACAGAAUGCUUAACACAUGCAAGUCAACUUGAACUUCGGUUUGGGUGGCGGACGGGUGAGUAACGCGUACAGAACUUGCCUCACAGCUAGGGACAACAUUUGGAAACGAAUGCUAAUACCUGAUAUUAUGAUUAUAUGGCAUCGUAUAAUUAUGAAAGCUAUAUGCGCUGUGAGAGAGCUUUGCGUCCCAUUAGCUAGUUGGAGAGGUAACAGCUCACCAAGGCGAUGAUGGGUAGCCGGCCUGAGAGGGUGAUCGGCCACAAGGGGACUGAGACACGGCCCUUACGCCUAAGGGAGGCAGCAGUGGGGAAGAUUGGACAAUGGACCGAGAGUCUGAUCCAGCAAUUCUGUGUGCACGAUGAAGUUUUUCGGAAUGUAAAGUGCUUUCAGUUGGGAAGAAAAAAAUGACGGUACCAACAGAAGAAGUGACGGCUAAAUACGUG
RNAcentral lists this ribosomal RNA (454 nucleotides) under uncultured bacterium. RNAcentral describes it as "partial 16S ribosomal RNA". It matches the Rfam family "Bacterial small subunit ribosomal RNA", at positions 28 to 507 of the family's 1533-position model. The record is from RNAcentral.